UGGAAGACAAUUGUUGAAUUCUAUAAAUAUAUGGCAAUUUCAUCAGUACAUGCUAUAUUUGUUUUACAGAAACUUAGGGUCACUGUAGGUAUUCUGUGUUUCUACAUCAAAGCUUCAAAAACAGUUCUGGGGUGUGGAGGUGCACACAGCUUCUACUACCAAGACACACACUCCGUAGCACUCCAGAUACAAAAUAAAACAAGAGGGUUUCUGCCAUUCCAGUUAAAGAGCAAUCUUAAAAGGCAUCCAAGAAAAGUUGGCUCUGUUUUCUGAAUUGCUAGUUGGGAGAACAAAAGCAGCAAGGGAAAGUUUGACUUGACUUCCUCUACAAUUUGUUUAUAUCAUCGGAGCAGAGAAUCUCCAGGCUGGGCUCUCCACUUCCUGAAUGAAGAGAGAGAGAGAAAAAAUGUCCGUGUGUCAAAUUCAUUGAGAUGUGCAAAGUGAUCAGCAAAAAUCCUGAUCGACUAGAGCCCAAAUGGCAAAGGAAGAAUGUUCCUCAAUUCAGCUGCUAUCUGGCAAGAGAGCUGCACAGUCAGUCCUGAUGGCGAGUGUCACCAAAUACCUCCUCCUCUGCCACAGAAAGGACAGGCGGUGAGGGUGCAGCCUCUACUGGCCUGUUGCUAUGGAGUCGGGCUAAUCUAAGAACAUGUUUCAGUCAAUCUAAUCCAAGGACAGAAGUGCUAGCAAUGGAAUAGCACUGAAAUUAUAAAUAUUUACUUGAAAAUAAUGCUCAAGCCAGACUUAACUGAAGUGAUAAGGUUCUGUUUACUUCUCUUGGUAGUAGCCAGCUGAAACAACCAAACCAGUUAAGCAACAUUUUUUUUUUUUUUGUCAGGUAUGUACUGAAUCACUGGCAGCAAACUUCUGGGAUUUUAGGAGAGAGGUUCUCUCUCUCUGUGCUCUGGGCAGAAUGCCUGUUUUUGUUUUGUUUAAGGAAAAAAACAACAACAACAGAACUUGAGGCUGGCUGAGCUUAUUAGAUUAUUGAUUAUCACUGUUAGUUUCCUGCUGCUUCUAUCGUUGGGGGUGGUAAGGGAGAUGAGGACAAGAAUUUAAAUGAUAAACACCCGGGCUUCUCUCUUCUUCAUGAAAUCUCCCGUGAGGUUUUCCAGCUUGCCUUCCCAUAACUUGAUUCUGUUGAGGUCUGAGAAUAUUGAAAUUGGGGGGUGAAAAGGGUUAAAAAUACAGCUUAGCGGUGAAUGCAUUCAGCUUUAGCACCUUACUGGAGGCUGUGAUUUCAUUGGCCUUGGAAUACCAGAGGGAAUUACAAAACAUUUAGAUAGAGAGAAGAGAUAGUGUGCAGAUAGAGUGCGGACAGAAUCGAGUGAUAAAGAGAAACAGGCUAAGGGUGGCUACUUUGCUCUGAAGGGUGGGUCGUUCUUGCUAAAGUCCGUUUCUUGGUGAAUUACGGUGGCAGCUCAGAGCUGGGGUAAGAGGAGAAAAUGCCAUCCAAUAAGGGUGGAGGCAGUCUGAAAGAUGAAUAAUAUAACAUGCAGUGAUUUCAAACUUCACGCUUUCUUACUGAAAGUUUUUCUUCCAGUUUGGAAGGCAAGUUUCAAUGGAUUCUCUUGUCUAAUCCCUGCUUCCUGCCAGGCUGCGCUGUUGGUGUUUUCAAGAAGAAACCUGGGCCAUGAUUUGAAUGCUUCAAACACUCAGUGCUCAAUUAGCCCUCUUUUGAAUCCUCUCUGACGGUUGGUUAAAUAUGGGUCGAAAGUGCUUUUUUAAAGUGGAACUGAUCUUGGGGCGAAGUAACUUAAUCUUCUGAGUGUUAAGACGCUGAAAUAUAAUGUUUUAACAGAACAAUUACUAGAAGACAUGGAAAUUGCAUUAUCCUAGGCUCGUGUGUCCAAUUCUAUUUCAUAGACAUGAACAUUUCAAAGUACAAAGGGCUGAUCUACAAAAAGGACACUUGGCUAUUCUUUAUAAAGAUUCCUCUUGUACUUUUAUAGAAUGUUUACAAGGUUAAUAAGUCUGCUUU
Molecule: long non-coding RNA, 1978 nt
Organism: Cebus imitator (Panamanian white-faced capuchin)
Lineage: Eukaryota; Metazoa; Chordata; Mammalia; Primates; Cebidae
Exons: 2
Source: RefSeq, a predicted model, not a curated record